This 73-nucleotide transfer RNA is filed under the name Lactobacillus sp. S2-2. RNAcentral's name for it is "tRNA-Thr". It matches the Rfam family "tRNA". Rfam says of the family: Transfer RNA (tRNA) molecules are approximately 80 nucleotides in length. Lineage: Bacteria; Bacillati; Bacillota; Bacilli; Lactobacillales; Lactobacillaceae. The record is from RNAcentral.
GCCGCUUUAGCUCAGUAGGUAGAGCAUUUCCAUGGUAAGGAAAAGGUGCUGAGUUCAAAUCUCAGAAGCGGCU